This 301-nucleotide ribosomal RNA is filed under the name uncultured bacterium. RNAcentral describes it as "partial 16S ribosomal RNA". It matches the Rfam family "Bacterial small subunit ribosomal RNA", at positions 509 to 807 of the family's 1533-position model. The record is from RNAcentral.
CAGUAGCCGCGGGAAUACGGAGGGGGCUAGCGUUGUUCGGAAUUACUGGGCGUAAAGCGCACGUAGGCGGCUUGGUAAGUUAGAGGUGAAAGCCCGGAGCUCAACUCUGGAAUUGCCUUUAAGACUGCCGAGCUAGUAGGUGAGAGAGGUAAGUGGAAUUCCGAGUGUAGAGGUGAAAUUCGUAGAUAUUCGGAAGAACACCAGUGGCGAAGGCGGCUUACUGGCUCAUUCUAGACGCUGAGGUGCGAAAGCGUGGGGAGCAAACAGGAUUAGAUACCCCCGUAGUCCCUGUCUCUUAUAC